This 23-nucleotide non-coding RNA is filed under the name Rattus norvegicus (Norway rat). Lineage: Eukaryota; Metazoa; Chordata; Mammalia; Rodentia; Muridae. The record is from RNAcentral.
AAAGAAAAGUAACGGUGUCGAUG